AUAUUAUUAAGCGGAGGAAAAGAACUAACCAGGAUUCCUUUAGUAACGGCGAGUGAACAAGGAAGAGCCCAUCACCGAAUCCAUCCCGGUAAACGGAAAUGGAAUUGUGGUGUAAAGGACAGGUUUCGUUGCAGCGUCACUGACCCAAGUUCUCUUGAAUGGGGCUUCCCAGAGCGGGUGUCAGGCCUCUAGCGGUCAGGCGACGUUGUACCUUUUCUUGUCCCGAGAGUCGGGUUGCUUGAGAUCGCAGCCCUAAGACGGGUGGUAUACUCCAUCCAAGGCUAAAUACCGUCGCGAGACCGAUAGCGCACAAGUA
RNAcentral lists this ribosomal RNA (316 nucleotides) under uncultured eukaryote. RNAcentral's name for it is "partial large subunit ribosomal RNA". It matches the Rfam family "Eukaryotic large subunit ribosomal RNA", at positions 40 to 350 of the family's 3401-position model. The record is from RNAcentral.